AUGACUUUCCCCAUGGCCACCUCCACCGCCUCCACGGCCGCCGCCGCUUCCCUCCGCCUUCUCCCGGUGCCAGCCACCCCAUCCUCCCGCACUCUCCGCUUCUCGCCCAUCCUCCGCCGCGCGCCCCGCGCCCUCUUAUCCGUCUCCGCCCUCAGCAAGCUCUCCGAGGCGCCCCCCGUCCCCAUCCCGCAGGAGGCCACCCAGACUUUGCCCGGCGAGGACGCGCUUCCCCCUAGGCCCGGGGUCUACGGCGUCUUCGACCCCGCCGGGGACCUGCAGUUUCUCGGGAUCUCGCGCAACGUCAGGGCCAGCGUCGAGGGGCACCGCAGAAAGGUGCCCGCUGACCUCUGCGCCUCCGUCAAGGUUGCAAUACCAGACGAGGAAACACCAGAUAAAAGUGUCCUGACUAAUGCCUGGAAAUCAUGGAUGGAAGAAUACAUAGCAGCCACUGGCAAGGCACCACCAGGGAACGUUGCCGGGAACCACACCUGGAUCGGUCCUCCACAGAGACCUGCAGAUUUGCGUUUGACUCCUGGUCGCCAUGUUCAGCUAACUGUGCCACUUGAACAGUUGAUUGAUCGGUUAGUGAAGGAAAAUAAAGUGGUUGCCUUCAUCAAAGGAUCAAGAAGUGCUCCCCAGUGUGGGUUCUCGCAAAGAGUGGUGGGGAUCCUGGAGGCACAUGGAGUGGAUUUUGCAUCCGUAGAUAUUCUUGAUGAGGAGCACAACCAUGGGUUGAGAGAGACCCUCAAGACCUACAGCAACUGGCCAACCUUCCCACAGGUUUUUGUUGGAGGAGAACUUGUGGGCGGAUGUGAUAUUAUUUCAUCCAUGGCUGAAAAGGGGGAGCUUGCUGCCCUAUUUCAGAAAUAG
Molecule: ribosomal RNA, 870 nt
Filed under: Triticum aestivum (bread wheat)
Lineage: Eukaryota; Viridiplantae; Streptophyta; Magnoliopsida; Poales; Poaceae
Description: partial small subunit ribosomal RNA
Source: RNAcentral